This 253-nucleotide ribosomal RNA is filed under the name uncultured bacterium. RNAcentral describes it as "partial 16S ribosomal RNA". It matches the Rfam family "Bacterial small subunit ribosomal RNA", at positions 524 to 776 of the family's 1533-position model. The record is from RNAcentral.
UACGUAGGUGGCAAGCGUUGUCCGGAUUUACUGGGCGUAAAGAGCGCGCAGGCGGUCGUUCAAGUCGCGUGUGAAAGCCCCCGGCUCAACUGGGGAGGGUCACGCGAUACUGAUCGACUCGAAGGCAGGAGAGGGUAGUGGAAUUCCCGGUGUAGUGGUGAAAUGCGUAGAUAUCUGGAAGAACACCGGUGGCGAAGGCGGUCGACUGGCCCUAAACUGACGCUGAGGCACGAAAGCGUGGGGAUCAAACAGG